Molecule: non-coding RNA, 439 nt
Organism: Onthophagus taurus
Lineage: Eukaryota; Metazoa; Arthropoda; Insecta; Coleoptera; Scarabaeidae
Source: RefSeq, a predicted model, not a curated record
GGUAUGGAAGUUUCUACCGAUUUCCAAACCCACAAAUGUAUCCAGAAAUAUAUCAAAGAUGGGUUUUAUGUUGUGUGCGAGAAAACCUGCUUCAGUGUGAACACUUCAGGGUUUAUAAUAAUUUUCGAGUUUGUGAUAAGCCUUUUCGACGAGAGGAUGUGGGACGUAACAACAAAUUGUUGAAAGGAGUAGUACCAUCAUUAAAUUUGCCAGAUAUCAGUACUUCAAGUGCUUCGAAUAACACGCCCACUACUCCACAUGCAGAUAUGGGACUUUAGGUUGCUUCAACAUCCACCAGUGCAAUCUCAUUGGAGACUUCAGUUUGAUUUCAUAUUACUGGGUAACCCCGCUUAAUGGGGAAACAGCGUUAAUCGGGAUCAUUAUUGGAUAUUUUUUGACAGCUAAACAAAGGGAGAGUUUAUUGGAGGAAGUUGGUGUC